UGAACGCUAGCGGCAGGCCUAAUACAUGCAAGUCGAGCGGCAAGUUGAGAAGCAAUUCGAGACCUAGAGCGGCGUACGGGUGCGUAACGCGUAUGCAACCUACCUCAUACAGGGGGGAUAGCCCGGAGAAAUCUGGAUUAAUACCCCAUGGUACAGCACGAGGGCAUCUGAGUGUUGUUAAAGAUUCAUCGGUAUGAGAUGGGCAUGCGUCUGAUUAGCUAGUUGGCGGUGUAACGGACCACCAAGGCGACGAUCAGUAGGGGUUCUGAGAGGAAGGUCCCCCACACUGGCACUGAGAUACGGGCCAGACUCCUACGGGGAGGCAGCAGUAGGGAAUAUUGGGCAAUGGUCGGAAGACUGACCCAGCCAUGCCGCGUGCAGGAAGACGGCGUUCUGCGUUGUAAACUGCUUUUAUCUGGGAAGAAAAGGCCCAUGCGUGGGACAUUGCCGGUACCAGAUGAAUAAGCACCGGCUA
RNAcentral lists this ribosomal RNA (475 nucleotides) under uncultured bacterium. Its description in RNAcentral is "bacterial SSU rRNA". It matches the Rfam family "Bacterial small subunit ribosomal RNA", at positions 30 to 499 of the family's 1533-position model. The record is from RNAcentral.